This 3471-nucleotide long non-coding RNA is filed under the name Mus musculus (house mouse). Its description in RNAcentral is "long non-coding RNA chr10:28681643-28685114". Lineage: Eukaryota; Metazoa; Chordata; Mammalia; Rodentia; Muridae. The record is from RNAcentral.
UUUUUUUUUUUUUUUUUUUUUGAGACAGGGUUUCUUUGUGUAGCCCUGGCUGUUCUGGAACUCACUUUGUAGACCAGGCUGGCCUCAAACUCAGAAAUCCGCCUGCCUCUGCCUCCCGAGUGCUGGAGGGAAGUCCUUAUCAAUUAUAAGUAACUAGACAUUAGCAUAUCUGAAUCACAUAUCCUCAGAGACCUUACUGGAGUAAUACUGCUCAUACCCUUUGUUUAUGGAGAAGUGAGAUCUCCAUGUAGCACUUAGGAAACAUUUUUUCUGUGGCUUCUUGACUAUUACUCUUUUUUUAAUGCCAUCAUGCUGGUUUUCUUGUAGUUAUUAAAAUUUUGACAAAAACUCUGUGCAUUUCAACCCUUCUAAUUUUUAAGACUUAGUUUUCAUUUUAGAAAAUUAUUUGCAAAUGGUUGCCGUUUUGGUAACUAUGGAGGCAUAAAACUAUUCAUAGCACUACAAGAAAAAUUAUUGUUUCUAUUUUUUGUAUUUUUGUAUUAUUUUUAUGUAUUAUCUAAUUUUCACAAAAGGGUAGAUAAACUUUUAAAAUGACAAAUGUUGAUAAUGACCCCUCACCCCCUGUGCUCUAUCCAGUCUUAUCUCUUUGCACUAUGUUCAAUUAUUGCCUAAGUUUAAAUCAUCAGAAUUUUGUUCUAGGAUUACUCAAAUUUCCACCCUAUUUGUCUUCCUGAUUGCAUCCUUGGAAGCCUAAAGUCUGUCUUCCAUCCUGAUUCCCGAGUCAUGUGUCUGAUAUGCGCAUUAAAAUAUGUCACUUCUCUGUAAACAUCUUCCCAUGGAGUUCCAUUUUUUUUCUCUUUCAAAAUAGAAACUUCUGUCAGUAAUCAAGCCCCACAUUGUUUCUCUGCCCCAUUAGUUAAGUUUCUGGUCUGCUGGUCUUUCCCCCAGCUAUGCCUGUGUCUUUCCCACUGAUACACAAAGGUGUAAGCUAGUCUCGUUAAAACUUUCCUAGAAUUCUCUUCAUUUUUCUGUGAAGCUUCUGUAAUACACACCAGUUUGGCUAAACCGCUUGUCGGUAAGGGUUCCUAAACACACACUUUCCCACAUCCUUUGUCUUCUGCCUUCUGUUCUUGAGUUUUUACCAAAACAUUUCCUACAUGCAUCCAGGCUUUUAAUUUGGGGUCGAGGGGAGGGACUUUUUUAUUAGAUUUUUCUUGCAGCUUUAUUGGGGUAUAAUUUGCAUUCUAUAGGACCCAUGUUGGGGUAUACAAGUCAGUGGUUUCUUUCAAGGACUGCACAUUUAAGUGACCACACCAACAAGCUAACUUGAAUGGUUUUCCCAGGAAUCCCCACGAGUAUUUCCAGUCUGAGACAAGCAAGGGAGGCUAUGUCUGAAUAUUUGUCUUCCAUAGACAGGUCAUGUAUAAACCAUGCAUGCUCUCCUCUAUUGCAUGUGGCGUUUUUCACUUCACUAUCAUGCUUUUGUGGUUCAUCCAAAUCGUAAAAAGUAUCAGUAUUUUGUUUCCUUUGGUUCCUAACAGUAUUUAUUGUAUGGAAUGAAAUGUGUUUCCCUUAUAUAAGAACCUCAGAUUGCUUUACAUUUGGAGAUAUUUUGGGUAAUGUUCCACUAGUAAUGCAUGAAGAACCAUUUUUACUUUAUCUUCCUCAAAGCUUUAUGCCAUUUAUUAUAUCUUCUUGUAGUUUUAAUCUGAAUUUCUUAAUGAGGAUAAUGAUGGUCCCUUCAUGGUGUGCUGAUUAGCAAUGUAUUUUUUCUUCUUCUUCAGUAAAAUGUCCCUUCAUAUAAUUUGUCAAUCUUCUUACUGAAUGUUUUUUGUUAUUGAAUUAUAUGGUUUUUUUUACAUAUACUAAUUUGCAAAAGUUUUCAAAUAAGAAAACAUGUAGAUAUCAUCUCUUUAUGAUCUACCUAUUCAUUUCUGUCUUCCCUUGAAGAAAAAGCUUUUAACUUUUAAUAAAGUUCACCUUAUAAAAAACUUUUUCUCUUUUAUAGCUCAUGCUGGAGAUACUAAAAAGAAUGAGCAAAAUUUAGUUUAAAAUGUGAAGAAUUUUUCUUCAGACAAUUUAGAUAGCAUAAGACAUUUAUUUUCAGUCUUGAGAAAGGAUAAAAAUGUUGAGGAAACAACACACACAUUUUCAGAAGUCAAAGCAUAAUUUGGUCUAAAAAAUCCAUUAAUAUAAAGUGCAAAGUGUUUCUUACAGCAAUUGUUAAAUGUUAAGAAAAUGGUUUUUUACUCUUGAGAUUAAAAAUAAGUUUACAUAGCAUGUUUUGAAUAUUAUACCUAUUAUAAUAUUUGUUGUUUAUGCAAAAAUAUGUUGAAAUCAUGGAAAUUAUUUCUUAAAAUUGUGUCUCUUCAUUUAUUUCAUUAUUUCUUCUCCUACAAAACACAUGAAGUGCUUUUGGUCCUAAAGCAUCCAUAUGCUGAAAAAAAGGAAACAGGUGUUUUUUAAAACAAGUUUUUUUAGUGAAGUGUAAAAGUACGCUUUAGGAUAAAAAAAUUCUCAGAGUCCUUGUGAGACCAUGAGAGUCAGCGUGUGCUCAAGAGCUGUGGUGACAGUGGCUCUGAAUUUGCAGCCUGAAGAGAAGAUGACUAGGCAAGACUCAAACUUUUAGAAGGAGCGAUUGCUGUUUAUUAGAAAGAUAUCCAAGUUUAACGUUCCAACUGUGGUCCAGAUAGUAAGAGCACUUGAUCAUAUUUAAUGGCUUUUUAAUUAUACAAAAGAUGUUGAGUAUCUGUGUGGGCUCACUAAGGUCUUAAUGAUGGGGCCCUGAUCUGGUGACUUAAUAUAUCCCCAUAAGAAAGAGAUACCAGACGUCCCCGUGCUUGCUUUCUGUUCUUGUUUCUGUCUCUGGCUGUUUACAUAUAUGCAUUAGGGAACAAGCACAUAAAGUGGUGUGAGAGGGCAGCAGUAAGUAAGCUGGGAAGAGUGUCCUCACCAGAAUCUGAAUUAGUCAUUAAUGUACUGUGGACAUCUAAUUCAACAGCCACGAGGAAAGCAAGUACCUGUUACUUCACUGCUUGUCAUAGCUAUUUCACUGUAGGAAAGCUAGCUGUUCUGAUUACAAACUUUUUUGAAAACUACAAGAAAAAAAAAGUCAAGAAUGCCUGGAAUGUUUAAGACAAACAUCCAUUCUGGUUGAGUUUUACUGAGUGGAUUUGAAAGAGAUGAACAUCUGGGAGCUAAGAGCAGCAUUGAACUGGAGUUUGUGGUCUGCUGGGUUUGAAUCUUGAGGUCCUGGUAGGAUGUCAGCCAAUAAAGAAAAUGUUAAUAGUCUUUUUUAAAACUAGCUGCACAGGUAGUGGAUGAAGGAUACAGCCCAAAGAGUUGGAAGCCUUUCUAAAACAGAGGAUACAAAAAAACCCCUAGGGAGCCAGAAAUGUAUUUCAGAAGCACAAGAAAGGUCAGAGAUCACAGGCCUGGUGUGUUCCACUCUGUACCAUACGAGUUGCAAAGAACAUAAACAUGGGAGAUGCUAGUAGAAGAAGGGAUUAU